This 409-nucleotide ribosomal RNA is filed under the name uncultured bacterium. RNAcentral describes it as "bacterial SSU rRNA". It matches the Rfam family "Bacterial small subunit ribosomal RNA", at positions 434 to 842 of the family's 1533-position model. The record is from RNAcentral.
UUUGUCGGAGAACAAAACCCGGGACGAGUCCCGGACUGCGUGUAUCCGAAGAAAAAGCAUCGGCUAACUCCGUGCCAGCAGCCGCGGUAAUACGGAGGAUGCGAGCGUUAUCCGGAUUUAUUGGGUUUAAAGGGUGCGUAGGCGGUCCGUUAAGUCAGCGGUAAAAUUGCGGGGCUCAACCCCGUCGAGCCGUUGAAACUGGCAGACUUGAGUUGGCGAGAAGUACGCGGAAUGCGCGGUGUAGCGGUGAAAUGCAUAGAUAUCGCGCAGAACUCCGAUUGCGAAGGCAGCGUACCGGCGCCAGACUGACGCUGAGGCACGAAAGCGUGGGGAUCGAACAGGAUUAGAUACCCUGGUAGUCCACGCAGUAAACGAUGAAUGCUGGUUGUCCGGGUCGAAUGAGACCUGG